Long non-coding RNA from Phragmites australis (common reed), 742 nucleotides. RefSeq lists it as uncharacterized. Lineage: Eukaryota; Viridiplantae; Streptophyta; Magnoliopsida; Poales; Poaceae. The transcript is spliced from 2 exons. The record is from RefSeq and is a predicted model, not a curated record.
UGGCAUGCAGUGGCCUAUAGAUGGAUUAGUAUUGUUCAUGCUGCACAAUCCUUCUAACCCCACAAGUCUUGCUUGAGUCACACAAUAAUCACGGCACUCGAUCACCUCACCCAACAAGCCGCUGCCUCCGAUCCACACCAUCCCAGCACUGCCUCCCCACUCGGACGUACGACACCACCUCACCAUCCUUGCCCCACCGUCGCUUCCCCACUCAGGCGCCUCCUCCCACUCGGACGCCGCCUCCCCACCAUCUCACUCAGCGAGGGAAAGCCGUAGAGCGCAGGUGGAUGACGACGACGCGUGGGGCAGGCGAGCAAGCGGCCGGCGUGGAUGGGCAAUACCACAGCGGUGAGCAGCGGCGUAGGCGAGCGAUGGGCGGCGCAGGUGGGAAUCGCCAACGCGACACAGGUGCAGCGACACAUAGGGUCACACAGGCAGGCAGGCAGCCGACAGUCGGUGAGAAAGGUGCUUGAUGUUUUGCUUGGCUUGGAGGGACGGAAGUAGGAGCACUUCUUGCACAUCAUGAUUCACCUAAUUAUCAAGUAGUGAUACUGUAAUAAUAAUAUAUUAGAUAGAGUUGCAUUUGUAUCUUAGCAUGCUAAACUUGAGUUUUGGGUUUGCCAUGUUAUAAGUUAAGCUCGAAGUGUUAAUAUGUUGGUUAAUUGCUAUGAUGCUUCUAUGAUAAUGUGCUACUUUAUUUUACGUAUCCUUUAUGAUAUCUGUUGUUGCUUCCGCUUUAUCA